Molecule: long non-coding RNA, 27227 nt
Filed under: Gossypium barbadense (sea-island cotton)
Lineage: Eukaryota; Viridiplantae; Streptophyta; Magnoliopsida; Malvales; Malvaceae
Description: long non-coding RNA (GBAR_LNC016735)
Source: RNAcentral
UCUGACAUGAAAUUACCCAAAAUGAAACAUCGUUAUCAAACAUUCCAUGCUAUUAUAUUCUCAAGAAACUUAAAAACACUAUGUUUCUGUUCCAAUAAUUACCGCAUGAAACAUUGUAUCCAUGCUCUCGGAGUAGUCGGAAUCGAAGAGAUGUAGUGUAGAGGUCGUUCUCGGCAUCAUUGUUGUUAUGGUAGAUAUUCUCUAGUUCAUCUUCGAUCUCCUUGGUGAAAUGGUAACUCACACCCAGUCUUUGGACUGAAUCAAUGAAGGCUAACUUUUGGGUCGAAUUAGCCAUUGGUGCCACAAUCAUCUUCCUCACUUCUUCUUUCAAUUGUUGGUGGCGUUUUUCAGUUCCAGCAUCAAUAUUCUGCUCAAAACAAUGAAAAUUUUCUUCAUAUUGAAUCACUAAAUAAUUAAACAAAUAAUAUGUUAAGAUUAUAUCAAUAUGGUGAUAUGUAUGUAUACCUUGUCGGGACAAUUGAGGAAGAAAUCUCCCCAAAUGCUAGGCUGAAAAUCGGCUUUGGGACGGAUUUCAUCCUUAUUGGAAGAAAGGGGUGAUGAAGAAGGCAUUUGAGAAACUUGAGAAGCCAUUUCGAUUGAUCAAAAGCAGAUAUUGAAAAGCUGAAUUUGCAGCCUUUUCUUGGUUUGCUCUUGAAAUUUGGCACAGAAUUUGUGUGAGCAUAAGAGUGCAAUUGUUGCAUGUAUUUAUAGGUAAGAAAAAUAGUGGUGAUAUUUGAAGUCAAAAAAGGAGAACUUAAAUUCAAGAAAACAAAGUGCAUGAGAAAUACAAAUAGAUUAAAAGAAAUGUUGAUUUGUCUUUUGUUUGAUUCUUUUGAUUCAAAGUUGAUGUCUGUAAAAAAUGUUUAAAUAUCCUCUAUUUACUUUAAACUUUUGCAGUUCGAUCAAAAUGUUUGAGGGCAUGAAUGAUAUUUAUUCUUUUCUCUGCUUUUGACAUACUCUUCACAAAACUUUUGUCCAGUAAUCUUAUAUUAAUUUCUUAGGAAAUAUGAUUGGAAAGAAAGAACAAUACGACUCUAUAGUAUUCAAAAUACUGACUUAUUUUGAUAUAAAGUUUUAAAAUUUUACUUUAAAAAAAUGUUUGUCAUGUUUCUUUUAAUCCUUAGUGAUCAAAUGUAUUUGUUUACUUGUUAUCAUUUUAAAAUAAAUAAAUUUGUUACUUAUUUGACCCACUCUCUUUAGGAUAUCAGAAUUGUUUUUAAAUGGAUGAAUUUAAAAACUAAGAAAAGAAAUUGUUUAUAUGUAUCAUUCUUAAAAUUCUAAACAUCAAAUAUUUUAUAAUUAUUUUUUUAAAAAUUAAUAAAAAUAAUAACGAAGAGAUUAAAAAUUAAUAAAAAUUAAAGUAGUUUUAUACACUUUUAUAAUUAUUUAUAUAAUUAAUAUUUUAACGAUAAAACCGUUAUGUUUUAUGGUUUAUUCCUUUAAAUCAUGCAUAAUAAAUUUUAUAUAAAUUUAAUUUAUUUUAUGUAAAAAAUUCAACCAUCAAAUAUAUAUUAAAUAUAUUAAGUAUUUUUUAUAUGAAAAUAAAAAUUGAAUGAAGUCGGUUAAGCAUCUGAAAGUAUUUGCCUUUCUUUUCUGCCUUUUUACAACUGAUUUUUCAUGGAUUUUUAUAGAGCAUGUCAGGUUUGACCAAGGAUUUGUUUACAAUUCACCAUAAACACAUUAGACGCAAUGUUCUCAAGCAUAAUACAAGUUAAGCUGAUGUAAGGAACAUGUAGUGAUUCAAUGCAUAUAUAGUUUAUUCAUGAUGCAAAUGCAAUUAUAAAUUUAAUUUCCAACCUGUCCAUCUUAAUCGCCAUCAAGCAUCGCUCGACACACCAAAACACAUAAAAAAAACUAACCAUCUCGGAUUUGAUUUCCGAUGACGAUGGUCGUUCACUUGUCAUAUGUGACGAUGACUUUUACAACAAUAACUUACCAUCUCAGUUACCCGAUUUUUUAUGGCUUUUUAAACUAUCAUCCUGAUUUAUCCAGUUUUGAUGACAUAGCCACCUACUCUGUGCAAUACUGACUUUUGGUGUGGACUUGAAUUGCCACUAUCUCCUAUGGAACUCCUUCGACCUUCUUACCUAAAUUCAUGUAAUUAUGCACAUACAAUUAGCAUAUUAUGCUAUUUAUCAUCUUUCAAUGCUUCAUUUGAUAUUUCAUACUAUCAUUUAAUGGCAUGUGAUCAUUCAUUCAUUCCCAUCAAUUUCACAUAUACAAUUAAUUUAAGUGAUCUAAAACAAUUUCACAUAUACAAUAUCUUCAUGCGUAUUAACAUUCUUAGUUCGGCUAACACAUACAUAAGCAGGGUUUGCACAUACAGGGUUCUCACAUAUAGGAUUGCACAUAUGGGUUAGCGCAUGUAGGGUUUGCACCUAGGGGUUCGUACAUGUAGGGUUUGCACAUAUGCUACAGUUCACCUAACAGAGUUCGCACAUACAGGGGGGUUCGCAUAGUACCUAGGAUUUUCAUGAUAUGCAAGCUUUGCAUAUUACCUAAGGUUCACAUGAUAUAUAUAGCUCGUAUAGGACCUAGGGUUUGCAUGAUAUACUCGAUUCACAUAUUACCUAGGGUUUGCAUGUUAUAAAAAGCUCGCAAAGUAUGUUUAGGGUGCGCAUGAUAUAUAUGCCUCGCGUAAUAUAUAUAGGGUUUGCAACUUAAAUCCUAUACUAAAAAUCAUGAGGGUUUGCAUAUGUAUAUACAAGCUACAGUUCAUCUAUAGGGGUUCGCGUAUAGAGGUUCGCUCACAAGCUCACACACAGGGGGUUUUGCACACGGGGAUCACACACAGGGCCCGCACAUGCAAGGGGGUUCGCAUAACAUGGGGGUUGCAUAGCAGACUUAUUACUUCCUAACACUACAGUUAAUCAUAUAUAAUGAUUUAUGUUUAGAUCCUACACCUGAUUCGAAGACACAAAAACCUUAAUUUGGAUGAGGAGAAUGAUGUUCUACUUGGGAGGAGAGGGACGAUUUUGGAAACCUUGGAUUUCUUUGCUUGAAAAUUGAUUUGGUAAUGAUGGAGAAAAUGAAGAACUUGAGAGUUUUCCUUGAAAAAUUGACUAGAUAAAAUUUCUAGAGUUUUGAAAAGAUUUCCUAAUUAUAAAACUCUUUUUCCCUAAUUGAAAUAGGUUUUAGGAUUCCAUGGAGAAGCAAGACUAUUUUAAAUUAAGGACUAAAUUAGAAAAUAAAAUUUUUUGGUUUGGGCUAGUUUGAAAAUUCGGCACUUUUAUGGGGUAAAAAUAAGAAAAUAAAAUAUUUUGCUUGAAAGGUGAACAAUAGAUUUCAAACUUGAGACCCAAGAGAAAGCUAAGGCCUUACCAAUGAACUAGUAGACUAAUUCUUGUUAAUUUCUUAUCAAAAAUAAUUUUUAAGGCGUUCUAAAUUCUUUUACCCUAUGCUUAAAAAAAUAAAAUCUAAAUUUUAUCCCUAUUUCUUUUAGCCUUAUUUUUGGGAAGUGACAAUACUCAAAUUUACAAUUUAAUUCAUGUUUUAAGUAUGCUCCACAUUAUAUCCUAAUUGACAUUUAACACUUAAAUUAACUACUAUGCUAAUGGAAAACCUAUUUGAUACCAUGUAAAUAACAUAUUUUGAAGUUUAAAACUAAUUAAGAAUUGGCAUAAUGUCAAAUUUAUCCCUUAAUGUUUACAUUUUUUUAUCAAUUUGGCUCACGACCUUUAAAAAAAAUCAUAUUUGACCAUCAACCUUUCAAAAAAAUUUAAAUUGUUAUUUUUUUAACGGAAAUAUUAGCUAGACAUUAGGUUUUUAGACAUGACAGCUCGCAUAACAAUCCGCAUGUACUUCAUGCUCUCGUUUUUUUUGGAAUUUUUUAUAAUUUAAAUUAUUUCUUGGUGUGACAUAUAAGAUAAAGUGUCAUGUUAGCAUGAAGUACACGUGGAUUACCACACGGGUUGACAUACCAACAUCGUUAAAAAUUAAGGUUUUAAUCAAUAUUUUCAUUAAAAAGUGAUUUGACAAUUUUUUUAAAAAAAAUUGAGGGCCAAAUUUAUAACUCAAAAAAGAAUAAGAACCAAACUGAAAAAAGAUAUAAACAAUUUGACAUUAUACCUUAAACAUAUUGACAAUAAUUUAGAGACAAUUGAUUGAAUUAGCUCAAAAUAAUAUAAGAUAAUGUAAAUGAUAAAACAAGGAUUUCAAUUUAAAAUGGAUUUAUAUGUGAUGCAUUACCGUAAAAUGAAUAUAAAGAAUACAAAAGAAAAAAUUCAUUUAAAUUUUAGAAAUAUGUCCUCAAUUCACUAGCAACAUAUAAAAAGAUUAUAUGAUGAUUGUUGGGAAUCGAUCCGAUUAAGCAACAAACAAGUAAAAAAUAGCGGAAGCAAUUGAGAAAUUGAACACACAAAUUUAACGUGAAAAAACCCCUCCAAAGAGGAUAAAAAACCACGGACAAAGAUAAUUUUACUAUAAUGGCAAAAAAAUAAAAAUUACAAAAGAUGGAGAUAAAAACUAAACCCCGAAACCUAAAAAAAAGAACCCUCAAAAUGUAAAUACAAAAUUCUCCAAAAGUGUAUGAGUUCUAAUAUUUUAAUGGGUGUUUUUUAUAAUGUUGUAAAAGAUCCUAUUUAUAGGCUAAAUUCGUAGGUCAAAUAAUAAUAAAAUAAUCUAGACUAAUCAAAAUUUAACUGAAACAAAUAAACAGGGUUUAACUAAGAGAUUAUCUCUUAAAUUUAACUAUAAGUCAUACUCAACAAUAAUAUUAACCAUUUCAAAAUUACUAUAGAAAUGCUGAAAAUUCUAAGGAUUAACAAGUUUUUCUCUCAUGUAACUUCCUUUUCCAAGAUAACUUAAUUUCCAUAUUCAAAAUUAAGACAAACCAACCUAUUAAACAAAAUACUUUUCAAGUGUAAAUAUUCAUAUUUUAUCAUUUCCAAACAAAAGAAUUUAAAUAAUUAUAUUCAUAUUUUAUAUUUAAUGCGAAUUAAGUGUAAAUAUUCUAAAGGAGACGUACUAAGACCAAUGUUUCUUAAUAAUAAAUAUACAGCAAAUAGAUUUUAUUAAACUUAAUCUUGGACCGGUCAAAAAGAAAUUACGUAUUAUAUUCGGAUUUGAUUUAAUUUCAAUGCACGAAUAAAAUAAUAAUAUAAUAAUAACAGCUUAAAAAGACUGCUAAGGAUACUUAAUGAUAGAAGUCAUGCAUGAUUUAUGAUUCUCACCCAUGCUUCGUGUUGAUUAUUUAUUCUUUUAAUUAAAUUAUUAUAUUUCAAGUUUUUGAAAUAAAAUAUUUAAAUUAACUAAUGAUAUUAAAAAGGAUGAGAAAUCAAAUUAUAAAAAAUUAAAGUAUAUAGAUUAAAUUUAAAAUUUGAGCGAAGUAUACGAAUCAAAACUAAAAUUUAACGACUCUCAUAUAAAGAAAGCUAGUAGGAUUAGAAAAACUUUUAGCCAUUGGUUUAUAAUAUAUAUAAUGCGUAUUUUGUACAUUAGUAGUGUAUUUUUUUAAAAUUUCACAAACAAUCUUAAAAAUUAUAAUGUGUAUUUUUUUAAAAAAAUUACUAUAUUCUUAUAAGAUACUUGUCAAUCUUUAACCGAUUUUACAAAAAGUAUAAUAUUAUAUAUUUUUCCAAAACAUUAUAUUCAUGAAUAACAUGCUUAAAUCAUUGCAAUCUCUUUAGCCUUAAUUAUUCUUUUUAAGUCAAAAGAAUACAACCUUUAAUUAAUAUAUAUAUAUAUAUAUAUAUAUAUAUAUAUAGGUUUUUAAGUUGUUUGUUCUUUUCUUUUUAUUUUUUAUGGUACGUCAUUUAAUGUCCACUAUAGUCUAUCUAGUUGAUAUAACCUUUCUUAUAGCAAAUAUAGUUUCUUUUUUAUAAUUUUGGGACACCAAUCACAAAUUAUCCAUUGUUUUAUUUUAGGGUAAAUUACAUUUCAAGUCAUCCAACUAUUAGUAAUUUUCUUUUUUUAGCCACCCAAUUAUGAAAAGUUACGAAGUGGUCACUCAACUAUUUGGUUUUUUCGUUUUUGGUCACUAGUCGUUGAAUGAUUGGAUAAAAGGUGGCGUAUAACUUUUAAAAUUGGCAUAAUAGAAACUUUAGCACUCAACAUUUAUACAUUGUGACCCUCAGUGUUUACACAUUAUGUAAUUUGGUAUUUUUUUCUUUGUUUUCUUUGUGACCCUUUCACCUAAUAAGCUAAGAAAAACAAUCUAUCAACUAAAUUUAAUUGGAAAUAUAUCAAAAACGAAAACACCCAAAAUCCAAGAUAAUAAUUUUCAUAUUUUCUCAUUCUUUUAAAAUUAACCCUCAAUGUCACAAAUAAAAGUAAAACUGCAAAAAAAAAAUUACACAAUGUGUAAAUGUUGAGGGUUAAUUUUUUUUUGAAUUAAGACUAAAUUGACACAAUGUAUAAAUUAAUGGCCGGUAGUUGGUUGACCAAAUAGAAAAAAGUUGAAUAAUUAUUGACCAUUUUUGUAACAUUUCAUAGUUGCAUGACAAAAAAAAAAAAUACUAAUAGUUGAGUGACUACCAAUGUAGUUCUUCAUUUAAUUAUCAAAUAAUUAUUUUCUAUUAUUUGAACUUAUUGAAAGAAAUUAAUUUUAAUUACUAAAAGGGUAAACUACAACAAUAGUCACCAAUUAUGCCUUCGGUUCUAUUUGGUCACCUGACUAUUGAUUUUUUUUCCAUUUUGCCACUCAAUUUUUUAAAAUUAAAUAUUUUAGUCACUCUCUAGUUAGUUGUUGUUAGAUGAGUGGUGAAAAGCUCGGUAAGCCCUUUUUAUUGAUCUAAUAACAAAUUUAGCUUCCAAUAUUUACAUAUUCUAUCAAUUUGAUCCUAAAUCUAAAACAAAAUCAACAAAAUUAGCCCUAAAUGUUUACAAAAUUUGUCAUUUUAGUUUGAAUUCUAAAAAAAUUAAUAAAUUUAGCCAUCCCAGAAUUUGUCAGUUCUAAUUCUAAAAAUUUCAAUAGAAAAUUGGAAAGUAUUUAAAUUUUUUAAAAUAUUCUUUAACCCAAAAUAUAUUAAACAAGAAGAGUAUUUAACACUAUUUGUAUUGUGCUCUUUUUAAAUUAAUAUCACCUUUUUGAAUAUGGUAAAAAAUCAAAUUGACUUAAAUCCAACUAUUUUAGUGUCAUAUUUUAGAUUAAUAUCAUAUCAUCUAAGAAUCAAUUCCUCUAAAUAGAUUAACAAUUCUUUAAACAAUUACAAAUUAAUUAUUUCCAUGUUUUUCUUAUUUAAAAAAUGUACAAAAUACUUAAUAUUCAAAUAGAGGAAACAAUGAAAUGCGAAAUCUUUCAAAACAUGAAAAACAUAGAAUAUUUGUUUUUUUUCGCCUUUUUUUUUACUUGGACAUAUCAUCAUCAGUAACUUUCAAAUUUGGGUAGAACGUGUAAAUAUUAGAAGACUAAAUUUAUUAUUAGGCCAAUAAAGAAACUCACAUCAGCUUUUCAUUACUUAUCUAACGGCAAUUAACAAGAACGUAACUAAAAUAUUUAAUUUCAAAAAGUUAAGUGAUUAAAUUAAAAUUUUUAAUAAUUGAAUAAUUAAAAUAAAUUGAAAACCAUAGUUGAGUGCUAUUUUUAUAAUUUACCUUUACUAAAAUUAUCAAUAGAUGCGGCGGGUAUUAACUAUUGCACACCAAUCAGUUUCAACAUAAAUACUAAACGUAAAUAAUACAAAAGCAUCAAACUCGAAAUCAAAAACAUUAAAUCUAAAACUCGAAACUUGGAAAAAAGUUACGGGUUUUUCUAGUGUAAAUUUUUUUAGUGAAUUACAAUAACAGGGUAAAGCUCAAACAACAAACACCACUAGUGCAACUCGAACCUCAGCCACACUUGAAGUGGUGAAUACCCUUGACUUUUGAGCCAUCACAUCGGGUUCUCUCACGUACAAUUUUUAUUACCUUAAAAUUUUCUUAUUAAAUAAUAAUUAAAUUAUCCUUGAAGAGUUUAUGUGCACAUUUAUUAUUUAUAUGAAAUUCAAAAGUAAAAUAUUCCAUAGUUUUCAAUAACACGAUGAAAAUAAAAAUAUUAAUAUGUAUUAAUUUAUGAGUCGUUUUAUUAGUUUUUUUUUUCAUCUAAUAGAAGGACAAAUCGAAGAAAAAAGAACUGAAUUAAAUACAGUCUUGAACAAUUAGUAUUUGCUUUUAAAACAUUUAAAUUAGAAUUUAUGUUUCUAUUUAAAUUUUUUGUAUCAGUAUCACUCAUUAAUCAAACAUCAAUUCGAUUAAAAAAUAAUUAAAAAAUAUUAUUUAUAUUAUGAGUAUUCAUUUUUAUCCAGGCUAAACUUAAUUUUAAAGUCACUUUCAAUAAAUCUGAAUUCUAGGGUUAAGUUUAAUUUGAAAAAUCUAAGUUGACUGUUGCUACACUUUCAUAGCUCGAUUUUAUUUUGGAUUUUGACUAUUAAUUUUUUAGUUUAGAUUAUUAUGUUAUUUGUCAGUGUUAUUAACAUUUAAGGGUGGCAUGGCCUCCUGCCUCAUUUUGCAUGGAAAAGCAAAAAAAGGUAAGAAGAAAAAAGAGAGAGGUGACGAGAACAGUGAAGCAUGUAAAGGAGAAAGAAAAGAAGUUUACAAGAGAGGAAGAAGAAGAAGAAGAAGAAGAAGAAGAAGAAGAAGAAGAAGAAGAAAACUACGGAAAAAGAAAGGAGGAAAAGAGAGGAUCUGCUUUGUAUUGUAAUUCUCUUUUGUUUGCAUACGGUGAAAUCUCACUCUAAAUAAACUCAAAUAAAAGGUAAUAUCUUUUGGCUUAAUAUCUGAAAUUUUCACUUUGGUUCUUUUAUAAAAACAUAGAAAAGUAAUAAAAAAACUAAAAAAAUCAUAAUAUAUUUUUCAAAACUAUAUUUUUUUGAAAAAAAAAGUAUAAGCAUGCGAAACUUUGAAAAAAAAGUUAAAAAAAAAAGAGAGUUUCUUUUUGGAAUUUUAGGUUUGUAGAAAAUUUUAGGUUUUUAGAAAAUUUUGGAAUUUUAUUAAAAUUUAGAAGAAAUUUAUGGGAUUUUUUUUUUGGAAAUCCUAAGUAAAAAUUACCAUAAAAUUCUUAAAUUUUUUCAUAAAAUUCUAUAUUUUUAUAAAACCCUAAAUUCAAAAAAGAAAAACAUUUUUUAUAUUUUUAUGAUUUUUUUAUUUUCUUGAAGUUCUGCAUACUUAUAAGUUUAGUUUUUUUUUUAUAAUUUUCAAAAAUAGAUUAAGAUUUUUUAAAAGUUUAUUUUAUAAUUUUCAAAGUUAUAAGAUUUUUUGGGGGUGUUUUUUUAAUAUAUAUAUAUUUGGAAUUUUAAUAUUUUUUAGUUUUUUAUAUUUUUAAAAUUUUUAAGUGAAUUUGAAAUAGAUUAAUAUUUUGAUUUUGUUUUAAAUUUCAGAAUUUUAAGAUUUUUCUGGAUUUAAAAAAAAUGUUUUUUUGGGGAAUUUUAAUGAUUUGUUUUAGUUUUUUUAUAUUUUUUAAAUUUUAAGUGAAUUUGAAAUAGAUUAAGAUUUUAUAUUUUUUUUUGUGGUUUAAGAUUUUUGGGACUCUUUUAAAAAAAUUAUGAUUUUUGUGGAAUUUAAAUGAGUUCUUAUUUUUUUUAAAUAAUUUUUUGUAAAAAAAUAAUUUUUAUAAUUUUCAAAGGUAGAUUAGGAUAUUUUAAAAAAAAAUUCUAUGUUUUCAAAUUUUUGUUAUUUUUGAGAUAUUUUGGAUUUUUAAUUUUUAAGUAAAAUUUUUAAUUUUUUAAAAUGUGGCACAGCAAGUCAUUCGUCGAUUUAAUAUUUUUAAUGAAACUUGCUAAAAGGGCUAAGUUAGUGACGAAAUGGAAAUAGAGAAAACAAUCUGACCAAAAAAUAAUAAAAGGCCAUAAUAAGAAUUUCACUAUAGUACAAAGACCAAAAAUAGUAUUAAGCUUCUUCAUGCAUAACAGUUAAUUUCGAAUUUAGAUUUUGAUUUCGUAGAUAAAAAAUUAUUUUAAUUGAUUUUAAAAUUUUAUUAUAACCAUGAUUUUCUAAAUAACAAAUCACAGUUAAAUAAAAAAAAUAUGUCUAUGUUAGAAAUUUUAUUAGGGUUGGUUUUGAUGAUGUUACAUAGCCAACUUUUCGCUAGAAAUUAAAGCGCAAACUGAUCGAAUUUGUACCAUUUGCUUCAAGUCUUCUCUUUUCUACAAGGGAUGGUUGAGGGUUUUUCAUUUGGAUGCACAAAAAGUAAUCUUUUACGAUCUGAAAGUUUUAAGUAAAUAAAAAAAAUGACAGUGAAAAUCUUCAUUCUUUUAGAUGAAGAAGAUGAGGGGGAUUUUUUAAAAAUAAUUUUCAGAUUUUCAACAAAAUAUUUUUAAUUUUAUUUUUUUUUUUCAAAUUUGAAUGAUUUUAAAUAUAUAUAGUAUUGAGAAUUUUGUUAGAGUUGAGUGGUUCGGAUUCUUGUUAAAAUAAAAUAUAGUGGUAAAUUAAAAUAAAAGUAAAAUCCAAUAGAAUUAUACUUCUUUUAUUUUGCAUUGAUUAGAAAAAGGUUUUUCAACAUUACUACACUUCAUCUAUUUGACAUUGAUUAAAAUAAGGUUUUUCAACCUAUAAAUAGAUAUAGUCUAAAUUUCUCUUGUAUCAUUCGAAUUCGACAUUAGUGAAUUUUCUUCUCCUCUACCGUGGUUUUUUUCUCGAAAGGGUUUCCGCGUAAAAUCUGUGUUUUCUUAUUUUUCUUUCUUUUGCUUUGUGAUUGUUUUAUAUUGUCAUUGUCGACGUUCAACUUUUACAAACUGGUAUCAAAGCUUUUCGGGUUGUUUGUCUCGAUCAUGGUAAUGACGACAUUGAAGUAUGAUAUUCGACUAUUGGAUCACAACACCUGGUUCGCAUUAUGGAAGAUAAAGAUGCAGCCAGUUCUUGCACAAAUGGAGUUAGAGGAUGCCUUGCUAGGGGUAGAUAAGAUGCCUUCGACAUUGACGGAGGAGGAGAAGAAACAUAAAGAUCGAAAGGCUUUAACACAAUUACAUCUACAUUUGUUGAAUGAAAUUCUACAGGGCGUGAUGAAUGAGAAGAUCGUUGGUGCAUUACGGGCAAAGUUGCAACAACUAUACAUGUCGAAAACCUUAACUAGCAAGUUGCAUAUAACCAGCGUCUUUAUGCUCAUCAUUUGGAGGAAGGUGCGUCUGUGCACGAACACUUAACUGUGUUUAAAGAAAUUCUUUCUGACCUAGAGGCCAUGGAGGUUUAGUAUGACAAAGAAGAUUUAGGUUUAAUUCUACUUUAUUCGUUACCCCCGUCUUAUUCAACCUUUACAGAUACGAUUUUGUAUAGUUGUGAAUCUAUCACAGUUUAUGAACUCUAUGCUUCUUUAACAUCGUAUGACAAGAUGAAACAUCCUGUGGUUGGAUCCGACUCUCAGGGAAAGGGUCUCAUUGUUCGUGGGAGACAAUAACAAAAUACUAAUGAUAAUCAUCAGAGGACAUAAGAGCAAAAUCCUCGCAGUAAAUCUAAGGGUAGAUCAAGAUCUUCAAACAAAGGUAAAACCUGUGACUUCUGUAAGAAGAAAGGGCACAUUAAAUCUAAGUGCUAUAAGUUGUAAAACAAGAUCAAAAGGGAGACUGUGAAUCAAAAGGGAAAACAACCAGAACAAUCCGGUGAAGCUGAUGUAGCAGAAAACUACAGUGAUGGUGAACUUCUAGUUAUUUUUGCCAACAAAUUUAAAGUGAGCGAGGAGGGGAUCCUCGAUUUUGGUUGUACGUUCCAUAUGAGUCCAAAUCGAGAUUGGUCUACAACAUAUAAAACUAUGUCUGAAGGUGUUGUUUUGAUGAGAAAUAAUGUUUCAUGUAAAAUCGCAGGUAUUGACAUGAUCAAAAUUAAAAUGUUCGAUAGAGUUAUCAGAACACUUAGUGGCAUACGACAUGUACCAUGAUUGAAGAGGAAUUUGAUUUCGUUGAGUACUCUUGAUUCAAAAGGGCACAAGUACAUAGCUGAAAGUGGAGUUCUAAAGAUUAGUAAUGAUUCCCUUGUUGUGAUGAAAGGGCAGAGAAAGAUUGCCAAGUUAUAUGUUUUGCAAGGUUCUACUGUUACUGGUGAUACAGCCGUCGCGUCCUCUUCCUUGUCAGAUGAUUAUGUUACUAGACUUUGGCAUAUACGUCUAGGGCAUAUGAGUGAGAAUAGCGCGGCAGAAUUAAGCAAAAGAAGACUUCUUGAUGGACAAGGCAAUAGCAAACUGAAGUUUUGUGAGCACUGCAUUUUUAGGAAGCAAAAGAGAGUUUGAUUCACUAGAGGAAUCCAUAACAUGAAGAGAAUGCUAGAUUAUAUUCAUUCUGAUCUUUGGGGACCAUCCAGAGUGCCUUCGAAGGGUGAUGCUAAUUAUAUGCUGACAAUCAUUAAUGAUUUUUGCAGAAAAGUGAUGUGUUUUUUGUGUUUAAGACUUGGAAAACUAUGAUCAAUAAGCAGACAGGAAAAUAGAUAAAACACCUUCGUAUAGAUAAUGGCUUGGAAUUAUGUUCUGACGAGUUUAUUAAAUUGCGCAAAUCAAAAGGAAUCAUGCGACUCUUGGCAGUUUGUCAUACUCCACAGCAAAACGGCGUUGCACAAUGGAUGAAUAGAAUAAUCAUGGAAAAGGUUUCAUGUAUGUUAUCAAAUGCUUGUUUACCGAAGUCGUUUUGGGCUGAAGCAGCCUGUAUUACAUGUUUUUUGAUUAACCAGUCUCUGUUUGUUGCCAUUGGGAAAAAGGCUCCACAAAAGGUAUGGUCUGGUAAUCCUACUGAUUAUUCUAAUUUGAGGAUUUUUGGGUGUCCUUUGUAUGUUCAUGUUGAUAAUGGGAAAUUGGAACCUAGAUCCAUUAAAUGUGUUUUUUCUUGAUUAUAAGGCUGGUGUUAAAGGAUAUAAAUUAUUGUGUCCUGAAAAUAGAAAAGUUGUGAUUAGCAGAGAUAUUAUUUUUUAUGAAACUGCUAUGCUACCUAACUUAUCUCUUAAAGACUCUUCCAAUAGAAACCAGGAAAAACAGGUGGAGCCUCAGAUAGAUCCAGGAUCUAUAACAGAGUCUACUUCUUAAGUUAGUACAGAAACUUAGAGUAGAGUUGUUCUUCACCACAGUAUUCUACUACCAAGAAUAAACCUAGAAGAGAAAUUAAACCUCCAAAGAGGUACGUUGAGGUCGAUCUAGUUGCUUAUGCUUUAAAUGUGGCUAAAGAUAUAGAUGCAAAUCAAAAGCCAUCUACUUAUUCUGAGGUAAUUAAUUAUGAAGAUUUAAGAAAAUGGAUGAUUGCCAUGCUAGAAGAGAUGGAAUCGCUCUAUAAGAAUAGAACGUGGGAUCUAGUGAAAUUUCUUAAAGGUAAAAAGGUUGUACGUUGUAAAUGGGUGUUCAAAAAGAAAUAAGGAACUCCAGGAGUUGAAGAACCCAUAUAUAAAGUAAGGCUGGUUGCAAAAGGUUAUAGUCAGAUUUCAAGUGUAUACUUUAUAGAUAUGUUUUCUCCAGUUGUGAAACAUACUUUGAUUCGAGCCUUGUUUGGUAUUGUGGCCAUGUAUGAUUUGGAGCUUGAGUAGUUAGAUGUAAAUACAACGUUCUUGCAUGGGGAAUCUGAAGAAGAUAUUUACAUGCAACAACCAAAGGAUUUUACUUAUCAGAAAAGGAUGACUAUGUUUGCUUGUUGAAAAAGUUCAUUUAUGGCUUGAAACAGUCACCAAGGCAGUGAUACAAGAGGUUCGAUUCUUUUAUGACUACUCAUGAUUUCAAAAGAAGCAACUUUGAUAGUUGUGUUUAUUUUAAGAAAAAAAGGGAUGGUUCUUUUGUGUAUCUACUCUUCUAUGUUGAUGACAUGUUGAUAGCAGCCAAUAGUCUGUAAAGGAGAGAUAAGAAAGUUCAAAGCCCAACUUAAUAAAGAAUUUGAGAUAAAGGGUUUGAGAGCAGUAAAGGAGAUACUUGAGAUGAAGAUUCUCAGAGAUAGAAAAGCGUGUAAAUUGUACCUAAGUUAGAAAUGGUACAUUGAGAAAGUUCUUUGCAGGUUCAAUAUGCAGAAUGCCAAGCCUAUUAGGACUCUAUUAGCAACCCACUUCAGACUUUCAUCAGUUUUGUCCUGCAAUCAGUAUUCUAGUGUAGUGGGAUCUCUCAUGUGUGCUAUGGUUUGCUCAUGUCCAGAUUUGUCAUAUAUAAUUAGUGCAAUUAGUAGAUACAUGGCGAAUCCCAAUAAAGAACACUGGAAAACAGUUUAGUGGAUUUUCAUAUACUUAUGAGGUACUACUAAUGUUUGCUUAUAGUUUGGAAGAACUAGAGAUGGAGUCAUUGCGAAUGUUGAUUCUGAUUUUACUGGAUACCUUGAUAAAAGAAGAUCUCUCAUAGGGUAUGUCUUUACAAUUGGGGGUUGCACAAUCAGUUGGAAAGCUACUUUGCAAACUACAGUUGCUUUGUCUACUACUGAAGCUGAGUACAUGGCGAUUAUCGAGGCUUGUAAAAAAACUAUUUGGUUAAAGAGACUCUUUGGUGAACUCAGUAAAGACCUUUAGAUCAAUACAUUGUUUUGUGAUAGUUAGAGUGUCAUCUUCCUUACGAAUGAUCAAAUGUUUCAUGAGAGAACAAAUCAUAUUGAUGUUCGGUAUGAUUUUGUGCAUGAUAUUAUUUUCGUGGUGAUAUUGUUGUGAGAAAAGUUAGUACUCAUGAAAAUCCUACAGAUAUGAUGACUAAGUCACUUCCUAUAACCAAGAAGUUUGAGUCUUGCUUGGACUUGGUUGGUAUUCAUUGUUGAAGAGCACCCUUUAAAGGGUUUUGUGGAAGAGGUGGAGAACUUGUUCGUUAAGAGUUCGUGGUGAAGAACUUGUUCGCUGAGAAUUCAUGUCAAGGUGGAGAUUGUUAGAGUUGAGUGACUUGAGUCCUUGUUAAAAUAAAAUAAAAAUAAAAAUAAAAUUCAUAUAAAACUAUACUUCUUUUAUUUUACAUUGAUUAGAAUAAGGUUUUUUAACCUUACUACACUUUAUCUAUUUGACAUUGAUUAGAAUAAGGUUUUUCAACCUAUAAAUAGACGUAGUCUAAACUCCUCUUGUAUCUUUCGAAUUCGACAUUAGUGAAUUUUUUUUUCUCUACCCGUGGUCUUUUUUUCCCGAAAGGGUUUCCACGUAAAAUUUGCGUGUUCAUAUUUUUCUUUCUUUUGCUUUGCAAUCGUUCUAUAUUGUUAUUGUCGACGUUCAACUUUUACAAAUUUUUUAAAUUGCUAAUUAACAUAGUAUAAAUAAUUUAAAUAAUUUGAGUAAUUGAGUUUAGUUUUUAGAGUCAGAUUUGGACAAGAAUUUUUGCACUUCGAACCGGCCUGACUUGAAUUCAAUUUAAAUAAUAAAAAAUAUUUUAAAAUUAAAAUUUAAUUCUAAAAUUAUAUAAAAUAACAAUUAAAAAUUUAUUUUUAAUAUUUUAUUAAUUUUUAACCCGAAAAUAGACUUAAACUUGAAAAAUAUUUUAAACUAGAUCUCGACUCAACCCAACUUUUAACUCAUAAAUAUCUAAUGAUGAAUUGUUUUCAAUUCUUUGCUUUAAACAUGAAUUUAUAUUUGCAAGUGUACUGCCAUUAUAAUAGUAAAAGCUUUAAAAGAAUGCUUGACUAUUUCAAUAACAUAUUUUUCACAAUUAAUUUAACAUAAUUUUCAGCAUAAUGAGAUAAUUUAAGGGGGGAAAAGGGGCACAUUGAUCAUAUUUUCAGCAUCCAUAAAAAAACAGUAAAAUUAUUGACUUGAAACAUAAUAUACGGACUCCGGAGGAACCCCUUAGACUGAGAGUGUUGAAAAGUCUUUUGGAUCAUUGUAAAGGACAAAUUAGUCAAUCUUAGUGACGAAGAAUUCGUUGAAAUAAGAAAUAAAAAUGAGAAACAUAUAAUAAGAUUUAAUCUAUUAAUUAAUCAUGUGCAACUGUGAUGUGUGUCGGGCGGAGCCAGAGGAAUUGGCAGGAAUUUCGGUUACCCUUAAAAUGAAAAAUUUUUUAUUUAAGGUUUUUUAUAAUUUAUAAAAUUUUAAAUUAGUAAUGAUAAAAUUGUACUUUGACCCUAAAAAUAAUAAAUUUUGAUUUAAUUUUUUAAAAAUUAUAAAGAUAUAAACUAUUAAAAUGAUAAAAUUAUCUUUUUACUAUCGAAACAAUAUAUAAUUUAUUUUCAGGCCCUCUAAAAAGAAUUUUUAAAUUCACCCGACGCUUUAAUUUCAACAUGAAUAUAAUUAUUUAACAUGUGUUUGUUUACUUCAUAUUUAUAAUAAAAAAAAAAGAAAGAAAAAAAAAUGUCGGCUUGACUCUUUAAAUAAGGUAUUUUUCACAAUUAAUUUAACAUAUUUUUUUCAAAUUGAAUUCUAUAGUUGUAUGAUUCAGUCAAUACUAGAAUUUUAUAUUUGGAACUCAUAAUUUUAAAAAAAAUAUUCAAAGGGAAUCAGCAAAUUUCAGUAAAGGCGUCUAGAUUUAUCAAUAAAAUUAAUAUAUUCUUCCCUUAUUGUGCAUUCGUAGUUCUACUAAUGGCAUUAAUAAUUCAUUUGGAUAAACUUUAAAUUCUAAAAAUAACUUUCACUUAUUAUAAUUACUUUUUACUAAUUGAUAGUAAACUUAUCUAAUACUGAGUAAUUAAGUAUUACAUUUUUAUUUAUAUUAAACCAAAUCAAUUAAUUUCUAACACAAUAUAAAAAUUAAAUAUUUAAUAUAUUUUUUAAAUUUGGCAUGUUAAAAAAAAGAAAGAAAUAACGGCUAUUAAAAAAACGUAAUAAUUUAUUUAGCCCUUCAACUUUAUAAAAUGUCAUUUUAAUUUUUCAUUUAAUUUUUCGUCUCUUUUAGCUCUUGAAUUUGCAUUGUUUGUCAAAUCAUCCCAAAAUGGAUGGAAAAAUUAAUGUUUGUUAACUUUAUUACUAUGGCAUCCACGUAUGUGCCACGUUAACAAUUAAUUAAUUUUUAAAAUUUUCAAAAUAUAUUUUUAAAAUUUUUAAAAUGAUUUUAAAUUUUAAAAUAUUUUUUAUAUAUUUUGUUAAACUUUCUAAAUUUUAAAAAUUUUAAUUGUUGAGAUUUCAUUCACAUAGCAAUUUACAUAUAUACCACAUCAACAAAGUUAACAUAUAUUAACUCCUUUCUUUUUAGUAUUUUUGAAUUUAAGUAUUUCCAACAAGCAUGUGGUCAGUUGGUAUAGUUUGAAACUUUUAGAUUUUUAAAAUUUUUCAUAAUUUUUAAACUUAAAAUUUAAUUUUUAUAAAUAGUAUAAAUAUUGUAUAGUAGAAACUUAACAUUAAAUAUAUAUAUAGUUUGGCGUGCAUAUGUAUGAUAUUUUUUUUCUUGAGGUACAUAUAUAUAAUAUUAUAUAGGAUAAAUUAUAAAAAUAUUCAUUUAUCUGUGGUUUAAAUUACAUUUUAGUCAUUGGACUUUAAUUUGUUACGAAAUGGUUACUAACGUUAUCGAUUUAUAAUAUUUAGUUAUUGAGCUAUUAAGUAUUAUUAGUGAAAUAACAGUAAGCUAACGUAAGAUGUUAAGUAAUUAUGUUAGAUGAAAAAUUUAAGUUGAAUUGCAGAACUAAUCACUAUAUAUAUAUAUUUCUUUUUUAUAGUUCCUAAAAAUUUUUAAAUAAAAAUGAUAUAAAAAUUUUAAAAAAACUAAAAAAUAUAUGAAAGGAUUAAUAAUAUAUAAAUAAAUAAAAUUUAAAAAAAAUCCUAUUUUCAAAUCCAAUCCUUUGCUUGAUUUUCGAAAAAAAACUUAGAAAUCCCUAAAAAUCUAAAGUUUAGGCUUUCCACCUUCUGAAAUGGGCUUGUCACUUUUCUUUCUUUUGUUUUCUUCUCAAUUUCUUCAUGUUUUUUAUUGCUAAUGAUGAAUCUUUUAUUCAGAUUUCUCUCUUUUGAAAUGGACUUUUAUUUUAUGAAAGCACGAAAUGACCAUUGAAUGAUGGUAAGGGGAGCUAGAAGUUGAUGCUUUAGUUUAGUUCUGUAGCUAGGAGAUUGAAGGGUUAACUCAUAACGAAGCUUAAAACAUAUUGUUAAAAUUAACGAACACUUUAGCCACAGGAGUUAAAUGAGAUGUUAAGGGUCUCUUCUAUCUUAACCAGUGGUCCAAGGUUCAAUUAUUAUCCUGGGUAUGGAGUAAUUUUAAAACUCGUUGUCCGCAUCUACCCCUUAAUGGACCUAUUGAAUGUGGAGGAUUAAUUAUUAAAUUCACUCGAAUAACUUAGAGAAAUAAAAAAAAAUUGAUGAAACCUUUCUAAUUUGCAGCAAACCCACAAACCCAAGGAACAAAAGUGCUUAUUAUGGCCAAACUAAAUUAAAAUUAAAAUAUAUUGAAUAACCUAAAUCAAUUAUUGAAUAUCUUAAAACAUUUUAAUGUUUACCUAAUUUUUCAUAAUUUCGUAAAUUACUAAAUUUCGUAAAAAUACUGAAUUACUAAAACUCUUAAAGAAUUAUUGAAUUACUGAUAGAAUUCCUUAAGAAAUUAGAUAAAUAAAAAAUGUCAUAAUGGAUUCAGUAAUAGUUGAAAUUUUUUUUGGUAAUCAUGUAAGUAAUUCAGUAAUUAUUAUAAAUUCAGUAAUUUUAAAAAAGUUUUAGUGUGGGCUACUUAAAAUACUGAAUUUGCUACAACAUUGUAACAUUUUCAAUAAAUUAUUGAAUUUCUUACAAUGUAAAUUACUAAGUCUUUUACAAAGCUACUUAUAUUAGGAAUACAGAUUUCUUGUAAUAUUACUAAAUAUUUAAUAAUAUUACUGGAUUUUUUACUUACAACUCAUGAGAAGAUUAUUUCUAAACAACUUUUUUUUAGAAAAUUUCUAAAACAGAAAUGGAAAUUUCACAAUGUGGGUCAUUGUAUUAUGAAGUAAAAGACUAAAUUAAUUCAUUAAUUAUUGUUAGAGUUUGUGUGACCCAAAUCCCGUCAUUUGUUGAAGAACUAUGUUUAUUCUAUUUGAUAUUGAUUAGAAUAGGAUUUUUUAACCUUUUUAAUAGAUGUAGUCGAAAUUUCUCUUGUAUCAUUCGUUUUUCAACAUUAGUAAAUUUCUUCUCCUUUGUCCGUAGUUUUUUCCCGAAAGGGUUUCCACGUAAAAUCUGUGUUCUUUUUUUUUCAUACUUUGCGAUCAUGCUAUUGUCAUUAUCGACGUUUAUUAUAACAAUUAUAAAAGUCAACAAUUUUGUCUCUAGACAUUUUCGCUUUGCUUGUUGGAGUGGAAAGAAAAUUGGAAAGAUGGAAAAUUGAAGGGGUUGAAAAUUAGAAGGAUGGAAAACAUAAAUUUUCUUUCCAUAGGUGUGUUUGAUAGGAGAAAUGAAAAAGUGGAAAAACAAAGUAAUUUUCUUUCCCUCUAUUGUUUGAUAGAGAUAAAAAAUGAAAUGAAAGAAAAUAGCAUAAUUUUAAAUUAACAUACACAUCUUUAUAAUAUUCUCUCCUCUCAUCUUUCCAAUUUGGAAGGAUUGAUUUCUAUGCAUUAAGAUGAAAAAUGAUUCUCUCCUAUUUUCUUUUCUCUCACUUUUAUUCCCUACGAAGUACAAUUAAAUUUUAUUUUCUUUCCACUUUUCCACUCCUUCCUCCCAUUCCUCUAGUUUUUCAACCAACCAAUAACACCAAUAAUUUUGAAGCAAAAAGGUAAGAUUUAAACAAAAGUAAUCUUAAACAUUAAAGAAUUGGUAAACUACACUUAUAGCCACUCAACAACUAGUAAGUUUACACUUUGGUCACCUAACUAUUCAAAGAUCAUUUAAGUUUACCUCAUUGUAUUUGUAAUGGCCAAAUUUGUUUGUUUGGUUAUGGAAUUCCUUUAUCAGUCCAUGUGGAAGAAUGAUCCUUGGAGUAUUUAUGUAAGUGUUCCAUUGUAACUACUAUAUUAUAAUUUGACACCAUCAUGCUUAUGAUAAUGUGGUGCCUACGUUGUUGAUAUAAUUGAUUUUAUUUGUUCCAUUUUUAUGUCAGUGUGCUUGGGUGGAUCACCCCUCUAUUGCAAUUGAGCAAGAGAUUAUAAAGUGGCCUUCCAUGAGAUAAUGUUUUUGGGCAAGGUGUAAUGUGUUGUCAUUGGCUUGCCUAGAGAGGUGAUGUUGAUGGUGUAGACAUUUUGUUGGUGGAGCUUCUUGGUGAGUUUGAAAGGAGAGCUUUGUAGCACUAAUUCUAAAGGGCAAGUUGAUAAUGGUAGGGCUUAAAGAGGUGAAGGUGCUGUUAGCUUACUAAGAGAGAUAACAGCAAUAUGAAAAAAAAUAAAGGAAAGGGAAAAUAAGAUGAUCAGUUCAUUUAUUCGCAACAUCAAGAACCUAUUAUAUAUGCAAUUACAUAACAGAAAAAACAAGAAAUUAGGCACUAACAUAAUAAGGCUCACAAUAGGACUCACAAUAAGGGAAAUAAUUAGCCAGGUCUGGUGAAUAUGUCAUCCAGCUGAUCUUUACUCUUGCAGCAUUUAAGAUCAACUACCCCAUCAUUGUUAAGAUCUCUCAAAAAAUAGUACUUCACAUCAAUAUGCUUGCUUCUACCAUGUAAUACUGGAUUUUUUGAGAGUCCGAUAACUGAGUUGUUGUCACAAAAAAUUAUUGUGGCUCCCAUUCUCUUGAAUUUCAGCUCCUCCAAGAUUUUUCUCAACGAAAUAGCUUGACAAGCACAAGUUGUUGCAACAACAAAUUCAGCUUCAGUUGUUGACAAAGGAACAAUAGAUUGCCUUUUGGAUGACCAUGAAACAACUCCGAUUUCCAUCAUGAAAACAUAAAUUGAAGUGUUUUUUCUAUCAUCUAGAUCUCCUACAGUCACAGUCAAUGAACCUAAAUAGAUAUUAAAAUUCUCCUUUUUUGUAAAACAACCCAAAAUAUAUGGUUCUUUGCAAGUAACGAAGGAUUCUCUUAGUAACCAAUAAAUGCAUCUCUGUAGGAUUCUCCAUAAACCUAUUGAUCAAACUCACAAAAUAUAUUAUGUCAGGUCUUGUACCAAUCAAGUACAUUAAAUUGCCUACAAUCUGCUUAUAAAAAGUGUUGUCCACUUACUUUCCUUCUUUGCUCAACUUCAAGCCAAACUCAAUGGUGGUGCUUGCUAGAUUGAAAUCCUUCAUGUCAAACUUGCUCAGAAUAUCUUGAACGUAUUUCCUUUGAGAAAAAAAUAUUCCAUUAGUUGAUUGCACUACUUCUAUGCCUAGAAAAUAAUGCAUCAUACUAAGAUCUGACAUUUUAAACUCAACCAUCAGACUUCUUGAAUCCAUUAAACAUGGAACUACAAUUUCCAAUGAAAAUAAGACCAUCAACAUAUAAACUCACAAUAAGUAUUUUCCUUUUAUCACCAGUUUUAAUGAAAAGAGUAGACUCACAAGGACACUUGGGAAAACCAGCUUUCAAGAAAUACGCUUCAAUUCGACUAUACCAAGCAUGUGGGGCUUGUUUCAACCCAUAUAAAGCCUUUUUUCAGUUUAUAAACUUUAUUUUCACUUUCAUGUUUAACAUAACCAGUAUGUUGUUCAAUAAAAACCUAUUCUUUGAGCUCACCAUGUAAAAAUGUCGAAUUCACAUCUAGUUGGAAGAUAGGCCAAGAGUAUUAGACUAUAAGUGAAAUCACCAAUCUGAUUGUAUCAUGCCUUGGAACAGGAGCAAAGGCUUCUUUGUAAUCUACCCCAAACUCCUAUUUAUAACCUUUAGCCACAAAUGUGCCUUAUACUUAUUAACUUCUCCAUUCUCUUUCAACUUUGUCUUGUACACCUAUUUGACACUAAUUGUCUUGUGCCGUUUUGGAAGUUUAGUCAACUUGUAUGUAUCAUUCCUCUCUAUACUGCAAUUUUUUCAUCCAUUGUUUUUCUCCAUUUUGACUCAUUUACAGCACUUUCAAAGGUUGUUAGAUCACAAUCCGCAAAUAAAGCAAAAUGGAUGGUUGGAUCUUCAGUCUGCCCAACGCUGAUUACCUCAAAAUCUCCUAUCCAAGCUGGUCUCCGUCGAAUAUAGCUAGGAUGAGGUUCAACUACUUCUACUUCAAUGGUUAUUAGAGUAUUAUUUGGUGAACUCUUAAGAUUAAGUGUUGCUUGAGUCUACUAAUCUAAAGGCUACUGCUUUUCAUCUUCAACUUCAGUACCAACAAAGGUUUGAAAAGGUUGUUUGUCAUCCCAAUUCCAAGUAUUCUCCUCAUAAAAAAUUACAUCCCUGCUAAUCACAAUUUUCUCCUUUAAAGGAUUAAAAAAUUUAUACACUUCAGAUGUUUCACUUACACCUAGAAAGACACACUUCUCUCCCUUGACAUUAAGCUUCUUUCUCUUUACAUUUGGAACAUGUGCAUAAGUAAUGCAACCAAAAAUUUUGAAGUGAUCUGCAGCUGGUCUCCUUCCACUCCAAGCUUCUUCAGGUGUCAUGUUUUGAACAGAAAAAGUUGGGCUUCUAUUCAAGACAUGGAUGCUCCAAUUUACUCCUUUUGCCCAAAAUUAUUUUAAGACCCUUCCACUAGCAAGCAUGCUUUUCACCAUAUUAAGUAUGGUUCUGUUUUUCCUCUCUUAUAUGCUAUUUUGUUGGGAGGUAUAUGCAGUGGUAAGCUUUUUCCAGAUGUCAUGGCUCUCACAAAAUGCUUCAAAUUCCUUGAAAUAAUAUUCUCCACCACAAUCAAUGCGAAGAACUUGAAUGGUUUUCCUGAUUUCAUUCUCAACAAGUGCCUUGAAGCUAGUAAAUGCACUAAAUGCUUCCAAUUUCUCCUGCAAAAAGUAAACCCACAAUUUUUGGAAAUAAUCAUCGAUGAAAGUAAAGAAAUAAAUUUUACCUUCAUUAGAUUAUGGUUUUAUUGGUCCACAGAUAUCUGAAUGAACCAAUUCCUGCACAUGUUUUGCUAUCUAAAACUUUCUUUUGGGAAAUUGUUCAUGAUGUUGUCUGCUAACAACACAAUCUUCACACACAUGGUUUGGAAUGACAAUCUGAGGGAGGCCGUUGACCAUCUCUUUCUACCAAAGAGUCUUCAAACCCUCAAAAUUAAGAUGACCACAUCAAAAAUGCCAAAGCCAUGUGUUGUCCUUCACUUUAGCCAUCAAGCAAGGUUGAAAACAAUCAAUCACUAAUGGAAACAACCUGUUGGAACUCAUUGGAACCACUGGAAUAGCACCUCUAGAAGGAUCAUAAAUUUCACAAGCACUUUUUGAUACCGUAAUCACAUAUCUUUUUCCUUGCAAUUGACCAGCACUUAAUAAGUUACUUUUCAAAACAGACACAAAGAAAACAUGGGACAUUGUUUCUUCAAAACUAUUAUUGGUUCUUAUACUAAUACCACCCUUUCCCACUACAUCAACAAUAGAUUUAUCUCCAAAAGGCACAUUAAUGUGAAAGUCUUCAUUUAGAUAAGAGAAAGAAAACUUAUUACCACACAUGUGGUUGCUACAGCCUGUAUCCACAUACCAUAAACAUGAGUUUUGUGGCUUCUCUUGCUUGUCAUGAAUUGCCAUUAACAAGGUUUUAGCUUCUUUUUAUGAAAAUUUUGACUUUUCUCCCUUUUCCUUAUCAUUAGAUAGAUUAGUACGACAUUCAAAACAAUAAUGACCAAACUUAUAACAUCCAAAACAUUCUACCUUUGACUUGUCAAAUUGUCGAUCUUGUUUUUUUCCUUUAUCAUCUAAUCUGGCAUACCUGCCACUAUUUUUAUUCCAACUGUCUCCUCUGUCUCUUCCCUUUCCUUGACCUCCGUUUCUUCUUUUGAAAGAAUGAGUUGAAGUUUUCAAAGCCUGCUCCAUUGGGGGUAGAAGUUCUAUUCAUCUUCUAUUUAUGGACCAACAAGGAACUCUGGAGUUCAUCAAUGGUGAGUGCAUCAAUGUCCUUGGAUUCUUCAAUUGAGUAGACAACAUAAUCAUACUUUGGUGAUGAGGACCGUAGUAUCUUCUUAGCAAUGGUUGUGUCAUUCAUCUUCUCACCAUGAAAUCACAUAUUACUCAUGAUUCCCAUGGAAGAACCUCAAGGUCCUUCCAAAGAGCCUGAAGCUAUGCACGCUUCACUUUGAAAAAAGCCUUGACAUUUUGUCUUAAUGGAGUACCAAAUAUCCUUGAAAGUUUCUUUGCAAAGAAUGGUUUCUAGGAUCGAACGAUCAAUAGCUUGAAAUAAGUAAUUUUUUGCUUUCAAAUCUUUCAACUUCAGCCCCUUCAAGUCCUUUUUGUUGUAUUCUGUAAGCUUUUCUCCAUCUGUUGGUGUUGCUAUACUGUGCUUAAUGACUUGCCAAUACUCCUUGGACUGUAAGAAGUUCUCCAUCAACAUCUCCAAUGGUUAUAGUGACCAUCAAAAUGUGGAAUAGGUAGCUGCAAACAAUUUUCAAAAGCCAUAAGAGGACCAUAAACAUUUUUCUCUCACUGAAAAUACUCUUCUUUUACCAGGCUCUGACACCACUAUUAGCUUACUAAGGAGAUAACAGCAAGAUGAAAAAAAUAAAGGAAAUGGAAAAUAAGAUGAUCAACUCAUUUAUUCACAACCUUAAGAACCUAUUAUAUAGGCAAUUACAUGAUAGAAAAAUCAAGAAAUCGCACACUAACAACAAACGACUCAGAAUAGGACUCUUAACAACUAAGGAAAAAAAUCUAAACCAAAUAAACCCAUGAUCUGUAGCCACUAAAUCCUUGAUGUGCAACAACUAUAUGCCUAGAAACAAGGACAACAAACAUAUUUUAUUAACAAGUAUCCCUAUUUAAGUGAGCUUCUAGUGGCGAUCCUUGAAAAGGCUAUCUGAAUGGCAAAACUUUAUCACAUGCAAUCUUGAUGAUAAUGUUAUGGCGAAGAAGAGAAAAAUCAUUGAAAGUGACAACAAUGUUGGUAAAAAGGAAGAGCAUGAUAGGAUCAUACUCUAAAUUUUGUGUUCAAAGCUAUAGCAACGAAAGAAGGAAAAUUAAAAUAUAAAAUAUAAAAGAGCAGAUUUUUCACAAAUGAAAGCUUGAAAAGAACUUUAUUAGAUCAAUACAAGGAAAUGAAUACAAAGACAGUUGAUUUAGAAUUUCUUUUAUAAUAUAUAUAUUAUAAAACAUUAUUAAUUAUAACUUAAUAACUAUUCCUUAAGGAACAGAAGAGGAAAAUUUAAUACGAUUUCUAAGUGCAAUUGGUUCAAUGAGUAAUGAAGUGAUUCCACCCUUAGCCGCUUUUCCAACAUAUGUGUAGCCAUCACCUUCUCUAUAGAGUACAUCCAUCACCCUUGCAAGGUUUAAGCUACGAUUCAAAACUUCUGUUGGCAUUUCUGUUGGUUUCAGAAACUCUUGAUUCACAUCCUUCCAAGCACUCUCAACAUGCUUGUUGAAUACAUCAUAUGCCUCUUGUGCUGUUACACCAUAUUCUUCCAUGUAACACUCAAUUGCUGAGCAAUCGUCUUCUCUCCUAUGUUUGAACUGCAACCAUAAUAAAAUAAAAAUUAUUCAAUUACUAUAUAACCUAAAUUCUAUUCGUUUGUUAAACUAUAUAUAUUUUUAAAAUGAAACUAGAUAUCUUUUCUUAUUCUUCGAUUUAAGGCUAAACAUUUGAUAUAUAAACAUUAAACUUUAAUUGUUUCAAAUCAUGACAAAAACCAUCGUUAUUGAGUUAAUAGUUUGGUUUCUUGUGAUUAUUUAAAUAUAUUAUUAUACCUUGUGUUCAGCAACAUCAUCCAUAAACCUACAAAUAAUUGUGGAAGCUUGAAUGAUCUUAGGGUCAUUGGCUGCCCAUUUAAAGGUUUCUGGUGUUACAAUAUCUCCCAUGCCAACGAAAGAUGUAAUAGCAAGCAUGGCAUAACCACAAGUUGGCAAUGCAUUAGCCUUAAACUCCUCGAAUGAUGGUUUGUAGUUUUGAAGAGUCCAUCUGGCCUCCACAAGAUAAGAUUGAGCAAGUCGUAUCAUCUGAGGCAACAAAAUCCCAACAAUUAUCACUAAUAUCAAUUCAAAUUCAAUAAUAAUAUUUAAAUGAUUAUAUAUUGUUAUUCGAGUUAGUUGUUUAUUCAAAUCUAGAAUUUAGCUAAGAUCUUAUCUCUUUUGUACAAAAUAAAUGUUUGUUGAUGUACAUACCGCAUUUUUCGCAUAUUCGACACGAUAUUGUCUCCCAUGCUCAGCCACCAGUUGUUCCAUUUCUUCAUAAACAUCUAAUAGUGCCUUGUAGCUCGGCUUCAUGUAUUCAGGAAGUUCAUCUAUGCAUUUGAUAUCCCACCUGAAUUCAACUUCAAUGUUAACUUCAACUAAAGAAACCUAACCUAUUACCAACAAAAUUUUAGAAAUCUAACCUCUCAAUUGCAUUUGUAUAGGGAAUAAGCUCUUCAUAUGUUGCAUAUGAGUCAUAUGUAUCAUCUACAAUAGAUGCCAUUGCUAUCACUUUUGUCAACAUCUUUCUACCAAGAGAAUAUUGGGGCUCAAAAUACACUCCUGAGAUCCAAAAAUAGCCUUCAACCACUCUAUCUCUUGCGUAUGGCAACUUUCUUUGAAAGUCUAAAUCCUUCCACCACCUAAAAAAAUCAUAUCAUAGAAAACCCCAUUAGCAAAAUGAAUAUUCAAAGUUUUAAUUUGUUUCACAUUCAUGUUGUCAAUAAGUAAAUUGUUAGAUUCUUAAGUAAAUUGGCAACCUGAAAUUUUAAAAUAUAUAUAUAACUUAUAUAAUAUAAGUAAAAUAAUGUAAGUGAAAAAGAUGAAUCCAUCACUUUUAACUUGUGCUAUAUAUUAAGAUUCAAAUAUUAGCAUUUGCAACUCGUCUCCUAUAUUGAGAAUGAUGCCGCGAUUAAAUUCAACCCUCCUUCCACCAAAAAAAAAAAAAAGACAAAAAAGAAAAAAAAAUGGGUGAAAGAGAUUCAAAAACAUACCUAGAAAUCUCACUUAGCUCUUUUCUAUGCAAAAGUUGUACCAUGUUGAAAUCGAUCUUAGCAAACUCCAACAAAACCUUAUUAUGGGACUCAAUAUCUUGGUAUACUGAAAGAUAGUGUCUUGCCUCAACCCUUGGCAAGCCUCUUCGAAUUGAUUGUUUCAAAGCAUGAGAAACCUCUUCGGAUAAAGGAUGGUCCAAAGAUGCUACUGCAAGGCUUAAAUGGUUGCUGGUGAAAGAAAUUGCUUCAUCCAAUAUAUCUUCCCCAUGAACCCUCAAAUAGGAAGCUUGGUAAAGUUCCAACAAUCCUCGAACAUCGCUUGUCACGGAUGACUUGAAAUUCCCUUGCUCGUCUUUAAACUUGUUGAAUACGUCUGAGAUGAAAUUACCCAAAAUGAAAUAUUGUUAUCAAACAUUCCAUGCUAUUAUAUACUCAAGAAACUUAAAAAUACCAUGUUGUUGUUCCAGUAAUUACCGCAUGAAACAUUGAAUCCAUGCUCUCGGAGUAGUCGGAAUCGAAGGGAUGUGGUGUAGAGGUCGUUCUCGGCAUCAUUGUUGUUAUGGUAGAUAUUCUCUAGUUCAUCUUCGAUCUCCUUGGUGAAAUGGUAACUCACACCCAGUCUUUGGACUGAAUCAAUGAAGGCUAACUUUUGGGUUGAAUUAGCCAUUGGUGCCACAAUCAUCUU